Lepus europaeus (European hare) is the source of this 130-nucleotide small nucleolar RNA. RefSeq annotates it as small nucleolar RNA SNORA64/SNORA10 family. The transcript has a single exon. Lineage: Eukaryota; Metazoa; Chordata; Mammalia; Lagomorpha; Leporidae. The record is from RefSeq and is a predicted model, not a curated record.
CUUCUCUCAGCUCUGAGUCGUUACCUGGCUUCACCGUGUGGGACUUCCAUAAUGGGGAGAGGGAAAGAUGGCCUCAGGACCUUGAAUUAGCUUUGUGGUGGCCUCUCUUUUCCUCAGAGGCACAACAGAA